Molecule: ribosomal RNA, 301 nt
Filed under: uncultured bacterium
Lineage: Bacteria
Description: partial 16S ribosomal RNA
Rfam family: Bacterial small subunit ribosomal RNA
Source: RNAcentral
CAGCAGCCGCGGGAACACGGAGGGUGCAAGCGUUAUCCGGAUUUAUUGGGUUUAAAGGGUCCGUAGGCGGAUCUGUAAGUCAGUGGUGAAAUCUCACAGCUUAACUGUGAAACUGCCAUUGAUACUGCAGGUCUUGAGUAAAUUUGAAGUGGCUGGAAUAAGUAGUGUAGCGGUGAAAUGCAUAGAUAUUACUUAGAACACCAAUUGCGAAGGCAGGUCACUAAGAUUUAACUGACGCUGAUGGACGAAAGCGUGGGGAGCGAACAGGAUUAGAUACCCCUGUAGUCCCUGUCUCUUAUAC